CAAGAAGUAGUUUAAUUAGAAUACCAGCUUUGGGUGUUGGUGGUAGGGUAUAGUCCUUCUUCUUGA
Molecule: transfer RNA, 66 nt
Filed under: Thamnomys kempi (Kemp's thicket rat)
Lineage: Eukaryota; Metazoa; Chordata; Mammalia; Rodentia; Muridae
Description: tRNA-Pro
Rfam family: tRNA
About the family: Transfer RNA (tRNA) molecules are approximately 80 nucleotides in length. Their secondary structure includes four short double-helical elements and three loops (D, anti-codon, and T loops). Further hydrogen bonds mediate the characteristic L-shaped molecular structure. tRNAs have two regions of fundamental functional importance: the anti-codon, which is responsible for specific mRNA codon recognition, and the 3' end, to which the tRNAs corresponding amino acid is attached (by aminoacyl-tRNA synthetases). tRNAs cope with the degeneracy of the genetic code in two manners: having more than one tRNA (with a specific anti-codon) for a particular amino acid; and 'wobble' base-pairing, i.e. permitting non-standard base-pairing at the 3rd anti-codon position.
Source: RNAcentral